AGUGAACGCUGGUGGUAGGCCUAACACAUGCGAGUCGAACGGCAGCACAGUAAGAGCUUGCUCUUACGGGUGGCGAGUGGCGGACGGGUGAGGAAUACAUCGGAAUCUACUUUUUCGUGGGGGAUAACGUAGGGAAACUUACGCUAAUACCGCAUACGACCUACGGGUGAAAGCAGGGGAUCUUCGGACCUUGCGCGAUUGAAUGAGCCGAUGUCGGAUUAGCUAGUUGGCGGGGUAAAGGCCCACCAAGGCGACGAUCCGUAGCUGGUCUGAGAGGAUGAUCAGCCACACUGGAACUGAGACUCGGUCCAGACUCCUACGGGAGGCAGCAGUGGGGAAUAUUGGACAAUGGGCGCAAGCCUGAUCCAGCCAUACCGCGUGGGUGAAGAAGGCCUUCGGGUUGUAAAGCCCUUUUGUUGGGAAAGAAAAGCAGCAGGUUAAUACCCCGCUGUUCUGACGGUACCCAAAGAAUAAGCACCGGCUAACUUCGUG
This 492-nucleotide ribosomal RNA is filed under the name uncultured bacterium. RNAcentral describes it as "partial 16S ribosomal RNA". It matches the Rfam family "Bacterial small subunit ribosomal RNA", at positions 29 to 507 of the family's 1533-position model. The record is from RNAcentral.